UGGCUCAGUUGGUAGAGCAUGGCGCUUGCAACGCCAGGGUUGUGGGUUCGAUUCUCAC
This 58-nucleotide transfer RNA is filed under the name Coregonus sp. 'balchen'. It matches the Rfam family "tRNA", at positions 8 to 63 of the family's 71-position model. From Rfam's summary of the family: Transfer RNA (tRNA) molecules are approximately 80 nucleotides in length. Their secondary structure includes four short double-helical elements and three loops (D, anti-codon, and T loops). Further hydrogen bonds mediate the characteristic L-shaped molecular structure. tRNAs have two regions of fundamental functional importance: the anti-codon, which is responsible for specific mRNA codon recognition, and the 3' end, to which the tRNAs corresponding amino acid is attached (by aminoacyl-tRNA synthetases). tRNAs cope with the degeneracy of the genetic code in two manners: having more than one tRNA (with a specific anti-codon) for a particular amino acid; and 'wobble' base-pairing, i.e. permitting non-standard base-pairing at the 3rd anti-codon position. Lineage: Eukaryota; Metazoa; Chordata; Actinopteri; Salmoniformes; Salmonidae. The record is from Rfam by way of RNAcentral.